Molecule: unclassified non-coding RNA, 336 nt
Filed under: soil metagenome
Description: partial contains 5.8S ribosomal RNA, internal transcribed spacer 2, and large subunit ribosomal RNA
Rfam family: 5.8S ribosomal RNA (bases 1-120)
Source: RNAcentral
GAUGAAGAACGCAGCGAAAUGCGAUAAGUAAUGUGAAUUGCAGAAUUCAGUGAAUCAUCGAAUCUUUGAACGCACAUUGCGCCCGCCAGUAUUCUGGCGGGCAUGUCUGUUCGAGCGUCAUUUCAACCAUCAAGCCCCAGGCUUGUGUUGGGGACCUGCGGCUGCCGCAGGCCCUGAAAACCAGUGGCGGGCUCGCUGUCACACCGGGCGUAGUAGAUUUUAUCUCGCUCAGGGCGUGCUGCGGGUUCCGGCCGUUAAAAAGCCUUUUUUACCCAAGGUUGACCUCGGAUCAGGUAGGAAGACCCGCUGAACUUAAGCAUAUCAAUAAGCGGAGGA